AGACGGAGGGGGCUAGCGUUGUUCGGAAUUACUGGGCGUAAAGCGCGCGUAGGCGGAUUGAUCAGUCAGAGGUGAAAUCCCAGGGCUCAACCCUGGAACUGCCUUUGAUACUGUCAGUCUUGAGUUCGGGAGAGGUGAGUGGAAUUCCGAGUGUAGAGGUGAAAUUCGUAGAUAUUCGGAGGAACACCAGUGGCGAAGGCGGCUCACUGGCUCGGUACUGACGCUGAGGUGCGAAAGCGUGGGGAGCAAACAGGAUUAGAAACCCGAGUAGUCC
Molecule: ribosomal RNA, 274 nt
Filed under: uncultured bacterium
Lineage: Bacteria
Description: partial 16S ribosomal RNA
Rfam family: Bacterial small subunit ribosomal RNA
Source: RNAcentral